CCUACGGGGUGCAGCAGUGAGGAAUAUUGGUCAAUGGACGAGAGUCUGAACCAGCCAAGUAGCGUGAAGGAUGACUGCCCUAUGGGUUGUAAACUUCUUUUAUAUGGGAAUAAAAUGUUCCACGUGUGGGAUUUUGUAUGUACCAUAUGAAUAAGGAUCGGCUAACUCCGUGCCAGCAGCCGCGGUAAUACGGAGGAUCCGAGCGUUAUCCGGAUUUAUUGGGUUUAAAGGGAGCGUAGGUGGAUUGUUAAGUCAGUUGUGAAAGUUUGCGGCUCAACCGUAAAAUUGCAGUUGAAACUGGCAGUCUUGAGUACAGUAGAGGUGGGCGGAAUUCGUGGUGUAGCGGUGAAAUGCUUAGAUAUCACGAAGAACUCCGAUUGCGAAGGCAGUUCACUGGACUGCAACUGACACUGAGGCUUGAAAGUGUGGGUAUCAAACAGGAUUAGAUACCCGUGUAGUC
This 460-nucleotide ribosomal RNA is filed under the name uncultured bacterium. Its description in RNAcentral is "partial 16S ribosomal RNA". It matches the Rfam family "Bacterial small subunit ribosomal RNA", at positions 338 to 795 of the family's 1533-position model. The record is from RNAcentral.